This is a non-coding RNA of Pelobates cultripes (western spadefoot toad), 386 nucleotides long. The record is from the annotation of a GenBank genome assembly. NCBI's taxonomy places the organism in Eukaryota, Metazoa, Chordata, Amphibia, Anura, Pelobatidae.
ACUACAGCAGCACCAACUACUACACCAGCACCAACUGCUACAGCACAAACUACUACACCAGCACCAACUACUACAGCUGGACCUACUUCUACUCCAGCCCCAACUACUACAGCUGGACCCACAUCUACACUAGUACCAACUCCUACAUCAGCACUAAUUUUAACACCAGCACAAACUACUACAACAGCACCAACUGCUACACCAGCACUAACUACGACACCAGCACUAACUACUACAACAUCACCAACUACUACACCAGCACUAACUACCACACAAACUACUACACCAGCACCAACUACUACAGCUGGACCCACUUCUACAACAGUACCAACUACUAAACCAGCACCAACUAGUACCCUAGCAGGAUCCACUACUAUUGGGACAAC